Molecule: RNA transcript, 4607 nt
Organism: Vespula vulgaris
Lineage: Eukaryota; Metazoa; Arthropoda; Insecta; Hymenoptera; Vespidae
Exons: 3
Source: RefSeq, a predicted model, not a curated record
CUGUGUUUGUCCGUAAGCGCCGCCGCUGUCGUGAUUUCAAAGCCAGUGUGCAGUUUUCGGGCAUCGGUUAUCAUCGUACGUGCGGAAUCGGAAAAACGCCAGGAAAUAUUUGGAAAAAAUAUUUCUUAUCAAUUAAUCGCGAUUGUGAAAAGUGAUAUCGACGUAAAUCAAAACAUUCGAAUAUAAUUUAACCUUAUUUCAUUUUAACCGAUCUAUUUCACAAUUUGCGUUAAUGUUUUUUCUUUUUUCUAUUUUUUUUCUUUCUUUUUUUCAUUCUUUUCUUUUUUUAACAUGACAUAAAAUCUAAAAUAAGAUACAAGAGACAGUGAGAGUGAGUGAAAGGGUGAAAGAGAAAGAUAAAGAUAAAUUCUAGAAUAAUUUGUAACAUUUUUGUUUAUCAUAACAACGACAACAACAACUACUACUACUACUCUAAAACCGAUAUGUGUGAUUUUUAUAUUCAUUCAAAUCUUUCAAAGUUGUGAUAUCACUAUUGCACGAGUAUGCGUGCUGAUUGGUCGACGGUUUGAAUUGUAGUGUUCGUUAAACUUUACAUAUUACAUCAAAGAAGCGUAGAAGUGUUUCGUGAAAGUUCAUUGGUGAAACGAAAAAUAAGUUACGUUUUGCAUAACAAUAAAGGUCUGAACGAGUACACGAUAACAGCUCGUUAUCUAUCUCACCUUUUUCUCUAAUAACUUGAAAUUUUUUCGAUAAGUCCUUAUCAUCGUGUGAACAUCAAUUAUCUUUAUCGCUUCUUAUCGAUUAAACUAUCAGUAAUAACGAAUUUGAUCAAGAGUAUAACUUAAUGACAUUAACCGGCUUCUUUUGUGCGUGUGCUCUACAUUCGCUAGUUCAAGGUCUUUCGAUAUCUUGAAUCGAUUGAAUUGCAUGGGAAGGAAAGAGAGAGACAGAGAUAGAGAGGAGAGAUAUAUAACCACUGCAAGAUAACACGGACGCAGACGCGUCAAGUAUUCAGCAUCGAAAGAUAGAAAGAGAAAGAAAGAAAAAAAGAGAGAUAAAAAGUCUCGACUGUAGUCUCGAUGAGGAAACAAAAAAAAGGAAGACUGUGAUGACUUCGUCCUCUUUGUCGACCGCAAAUAGAUAUCCUAUUUUCAGCAUCUCUCUUUUGGUGUGAGCGUGUCAAAUUCAUGAAAAAAAAAAAAAAAAAAGAAGAAGAAAGCAAAAAAAAAACAUUAAUAUGCACAUAUUAUGAUCCAACAAUCGUCGAUCAUUAAAUAUUUUUCUUUGUUUGUUUCUCUUUUUCUUUUUUAUUUGUCCGAUCUAUCAUAACGAAAAUUGAUACUUAAUCUCAAGUUUUGUUCAGUUUCGUUUAUUUGAUCAUCUCUUAUAACAACCAAUAACAACAACAACACAACAUCAAAAGGGGAUAUAUAGAAUAUGUCUAUAAAUUCAUCGAAACGUACGGGGAAAGAUAACCUCACGAAACCGGCAAUACAGUCUCAACUUGCCAGAUUAAAAAGAGAGGAAGAAGAAGAAUUAUGGAUAUCAGGAGAAGAACUUUGUACGGAAGGAAGCAGCGAUGAGGAAGAUAGCAAAACAUGUUCUAGAUCAUUCUGUAGAACAAAUAAGAAUCAUGAUCCGCGUAAUUCGUCGGCCACUGGUAGACAUCAUUGGAUUGUAUCGGAUAAUACAAAAGAAAUGUCCGAACGAUCGAGUAGCAAUUCCGAAGGAAAUAUGUCUUCGAUAGAAAUAACAAAUUCUUUGAAAAUGGAUACAUCAAAUACACGAUCGAAUUCUUCGAUAGAUUUGGAAAUGAAUGACGUUUCAAUGGCGGACGAUACGUGUUCGGAUGUGAUACAAGAUGAGGAAGGACAAGGCCUUAAAGACUCUGAAAUAUCGUGGAAGGUUAACAGAGGUACCAUCAGGUUACUUAAUACAGGUGCUAACGCUGCUACUAUGGAACCCGAUAGACCGUAACAAUGGAUUUUUCAUCGGAGAUAGUAUUUCUUAGAAUUUAAUCUUGUCAACAAUCUUUUAUGUACUUUUCGUCAUCUUUUUGCGUUUUAAUUACGACGAUAUUCGUCGUUGUAGUUCUUUCGAAUGUAAUUCAAAUCUUUCCCACGAUAAAAUCGUGACGUAAUCGAAGACUGAUUUCUCUGAAUUUUGAUUGGACGGUUUAAGUUAGUAUGGCUCAAUCAAAAUACGUAAGAUCUUAAGUACGUCAUGAUUUCUGAUUUUUAUUAUAUUUGGCUUCGUAUCGUUUCUUAGUUUUUCUUUGUAAAUACAAAUGUUAGUUUUGAAUUUAUUACUGGUUCGAUAAUAGAUAGAUCGACGAAAGAAACCUGGCAAGAAGAUACAACUGAAUUGAAGGAAUUAACGCUAUUAGGUUAUCAGCGAGAAUUUGUCACGCGUUUACGAGGUCUUCAAAUUGAAGGUAAUGAAAAUUAUGAAGAAUUUAUUAUGAAUGUCUUUUGAAAUUCUGACGUUUCAUUGCAAGAUAAUCAUGAAAAUAACGGUAACACAUAUCUGAGAAAUGAUCUUAAUAAAUGCGAAUUGAAAAACUUAAGUACGAUGAACGAGGAGUUGGAAAAACAAAUAUCGAAGGUAAAGAGUUUGGAUACUGCUAUCAAAAAAUUUGAUAAUAAUGUAGAGGUAAAUAUAUUCUGCAAGUUCGAAUAUAUAUAUAUUAAAUGACGAUCGUGUCUAAUUUAUUCACUUUAAUAAGUAAAUCGUAGAGAAAACAAAGUAUAUUUAAGAUGAUUCUUAACACAGGAAGAGAUGAAAGAAACUUUGUUAUGUCAAUAUAAAAAUCGUGAAAAAUUGAAAGAGAUAUUAGAGAAUGUACCGCUUGAAACUGGAAAAUUAGCUGAAAAUACACAACAAUUUUUUAAUUUAUACAAUGAAUGUACUGAUAUAUCUGGUAAUAAAUGAAUGAAUAUUUAUAUAUAAUAAUAUAUUAUAAUUAAUAUCUCUUUCUUUUUUUCUUAUUUAUGAAUAAGCACUUAAGGAUGUACAUGGAAAAAUUAAGCAAUACAAUACGCAUAACAUUGAAAUUUCGCAUAAUCAACAAAUGUUAAUAAAAGAAGAAGUAAAUACAAUAAAAAAUAUACAUGAACAAUUAUUAGAAACAAAGAAGAAAGGAUGUAAAUUUAAUAAGAAGGAUAAGACAGUAUAUCUUAUUUAUUUCUUUAUGAAUUUUUAUUUUGACAGGAAUUUAAUAAAAAUAUUGAUAUUAACAGUUAGCCACAUAUCAGUCAAAAAUGUUUCCUAAUACUACUAAUAAAAAACAAAGAAUGGCAAUAUUAUUUGGAGAUAUGAUUGAUGGUAAUAAGGACAUUGUCCAUUCUAGUAAUAAUCCUUACUGUGUUAAUGAUGAAGAAAGAAAAUUAUUACGUGAAUUAAGCGAAAAAAUUUCAGUGAGUGAUUCAAAUAUUUUAAUAUAAUUUAAAAUAUCGUUAAUAUUAUGUAAAAUGAUAGAUACUACAAAGUGGUAAAAAUUGUAAAAAGUCUGGAAUACAAAAGGAUAAGCAAUUAUCAUUAAAUAUAUGUAAUACGCAUUCAAUAAGCACAUCAGAUAACACAAUAAGUACAACAAUAAGUACUUUGCAAAAUGUAGAUGAAGAAAUUCUAUUGGAAUUAUUAGAAGAUUCAAAAAUAAUGAUGGCUUCAUCUGCUGAGGAAAAAUUACAAAAUUGGAAUUGAGGUUAAAUAAAUAAUAUUUUAUCUUACAAAGUUAUAAUUAAUUUGUCAGUAUAAAAACACAUUUAUACUACAUUUGAAUAUAAACAACUUGAAUACUUUGUCAUUAUCUAAUUUAUCUAAUUUAGAUAAAGGUAAAUUAAAUCAUAUGUUUUAAAUAUUAUAUAUCAAAAGCAACUACUUACAAAAUAUUUUAAUCUAUAAUAUUAUUAAUUUAAUAUUUAUGAAUUAUUAAACAAUAUUUUCUUGAUUUUUGCUUCUUCUAUAUAAUUUAAAAUACAUUAUUUUAUUAAAUCUUUCUUUUUAUUUUUAUCUGAAACUGUAUACUUGUCAUAACUUUUUGUUGGAUCAAAAGGUUCCCAUCUACUGGCAGGAAAUAUGUGUUUAUUUCUUUCAUACCAUGAUCUAAAAUAUACAUAUAUAAUCAUUAUUUCUAUACUCAUAAUAUUUAGUUUAUUAUAAAUAUACUAAAGAUAGAAAAAUUAUACCUUAAUAAGACUUUGCCCGCAUGCGAUUCUUCCGUUUCAACAGAAGCAUCGUGCAUAACUCGAAUAUCAUCAUGAACAUCAAAUGUAAAAAGUGGUCCACUCUUCCCUCUUGCCUGAAAUAAGUAUAAAUAUAUAAUAUGUAUGUCAGUGCUUUCAUUCAUAUUCUCAUAUCUACAAACACACUAUGUUAGUUAAAAAUAUUUUUAUUAUUUAUAAAUAAUACCUUGGUGACAAUGAAGUCAUAGAAAGUAUAGUGAUGUGGCAAGAUAAGAUCUUCUUUGACAUACAUUAAUUGAUCUGCCAUUACAGUUUUAAGUUCACUAAAUUCUCGUCUUAAAACUUCCAAACAUCUUUGAAGGAGUUGAUAAAUUGAAUUACCUGUAAAUAGUAUAAACUAGUAUCAAUUAAUAUAGAUUUUUAUUGAAUUUAUAAAUAUACAGAAACAACAACAUUACACAA